Molecule: long non-coding RNA, 1124 nt
Organism: Bos taurus (domestic cattle)
Lineage: Eukaryota; Metazoa; Chordata; Mammalia; Artiodactyla; Bovidae
Source: Ensembl
GAGAGAGUGAUCUUAAGGUGCUAGGGGCAAACAGGAUUUAGAAAGAUAAGAAAUAAACAGGAAUGUAGCAUGAAUUACAAUGUAAUCACAAGUUGAAAGUGAAGUCACUCAGUCGGGUCAGACUCUUUGUGACCCCACGGACUGUAGCCUACCUGGCUUCUCCAUCCAUGGGAUUUUCCAGGCAAGAGUCCUGGAGUGGAUGGAUUGCCAUUUCCUUCUCCAGGGGAUCUUCCCUACCCAGGGAUUGAACCCGGGUCUACCACAUUGUAGGCAGAUGCUUUUAUCGUCUGAGCCAGGGAAGUUAAAUACAGUCAGUUUUGGUGGAGGAAGCUAAAAACUUCAAACCUCUGACCUAAUGCUUUUGUCAAAGUAUAAAAAAGAACCUGAAGCUUGAAAUAAACAUGUAGGUCCAUACUGUGAGUCAGAGACUACAUCAUCCCCCACUAUUCAGGUAAUUCCCUGGCUGCUGAAGCUGGACUCCGGCACUUUUACAAAGUGUGUAAUCGGAAAUGGCCAACAGAGACAAAAUUGCAGUCAAGAAAUGAAAAUGAUAAAGCUAGAGGUAAAACAUGAAUAGACGGGGUUAUAGAAGGAAUCACUGAUCAUGGGAAUGUUGCCAGUGUUGCUAUGCUAGAGCCUCUAGAUGUGCAGCUAGAGGAACUUGGUGCAAGCAGACUCAUCAUAAAUGAGGGUUGUGAUGAAAAGGAUGAACAUGUCCCAGAGGUAACAAACUUCACAUUAAAGCAAACUACAGAGAUGGUUCCCAACAUUGAAAACACAAACAAUAACAUAGUGGAAGCUAAACUUCCACAUGGAAGUAUGAAAAUUUGCAGUGGUAUAGAAAAGAUGCUUUCCCAGUGUCAUACAUUACUUAACAAAAAGGCAAGUGUGAGUAUUCAUGAUUUUUUUUACAAUGAAAUAGCACUUUAAUUCCCAGUGUUUCUGGUAUUUUAAAUUACAGUAUACUAAGUCACAUUUUUUUCAUUCUUUUACAUUUAUAACUGACACCUUGUAAUAUUUUGACAUUUUUUUCAAGGUCACACAAUGGUAAUUCUCUCCAUUAAUUAUUGAGUAUUUUGAUUGACACUAGCACCCAUGCAAAGCAAAGACUGCCUAUAGGUGAG